RNAcentral lists this small RNA (29 nucleotides) under Bombyx mori (domestic silkworm). RNAcentral describes it as "ovarian small RNA-29459". The record is from RNAcentral. Lineage: Eukaryota; Metazoa; Arthropoda; Insecta; Lepidoptera; Bombycidae.
UCUACGGUGAUCCCCGAUAGGCCGCACAC